This 1540-nucleotide ribosomal RNA is filed under the name Klebsiella pneumoniae. Its description in RNAcentral is "bacterial SSU rRNA". It matches the Rfam family "Bacterial small subunit ribosomal RNA". The record is from RNAcentral. Lineage: Bacteria; Pseudomonadati; Pseudomonadota; Gammaproteobacteria; Enterobacterales; Enterobacteriaceae.
AAAUUGAAGAGUUUGAUCAUGGCUCAGAUUGAACGCUGGCGGCAGGCCUAACACAUGCAAGUCGAGCGGUAGCACAGAGAGCUUGCUCUCGGGUGACGAGCGGCGGACGGGUGAGUAAUGUCUGGGAAACUGCCUGAUGGAGGGGGAUAACUACUGGAAACGGUAGCUAAUACCGCAUAACGUCGCAAGACCAAAGUGGGGGACCUUCGGGCCUCAUGCCAUCAGAUGUGCCCAGAUGGGAUUAGCUAGUAGGUGGGGUAAUGGCUCACCUAGGCGACGAUCCCUAGCUGGUCUGAGAGGAUGACCAGCCACACUGGAACUGAGACACGGUCCAGACUCCUACGGGAGGCAGCAGUGGGGAAUAUUGCACAAUGGGCGCAAGCCUGAUGCAGCCAUGCCGCGUGUGUGAAGAAGGCCUUCGGGUUGUAAAGCACUUUCAGCGGGGAGGAAGGCGGUGAGGUUAAUAACCUCAUCGAUUGACGUUACCCGCAGAAGAAGCACCGGCUAACUCCGUGCCAGCAGCCGCGGUAAUACGGAGGGUGCAAGCGUUAAUCGGAAUUACUGGGCGUAAAGCGCACGCAGGCGGUCUGUCAAGUCGGAUGUGAAAUCCCCGGGCUCAACCUGGGAACUGCAUUCGAAACUGGCAGGCUAGAGUCUUGUAGAGGGGGGUAGAAUUCCAGGUGUAGCGGUGAAAUGCGUAGAGAUCUGGAGGAAUACCGGUGGCGAAGGCGGCCCCCUGGACAAAGACUGACGCUCAGGUGCGAAAGCGUGGGGAGCAAACAGGAUUAGAUACCCUGGUAGUCCACGCCGUAAACGAUGUCGAUUUGGAGGUUGUGCCCUUGAGGCGUGGCUUCCGGAGCUAACGCGUUAAAUCGACCGCCUGGGGAGUACGGCCGCAAGGUUAAAACUCAAAUGAAUUGACGGGGGCCCGCACAAGCGGUGGAGCAUGUGGUUUAAUUCGAUGCAACGCGAAGAACCUUACCUGGUCUUGACAUCCACAGAACUUAGCAGAGAUGCUUUGGUGCCUUCGGGAACUGUGAGACAGGUGCUGCAUGGCUGUCGUCAGCUCGUGUUGUGAAAUGUUGGGUUAAGUCCCGCAACGAGCGCAACCCUUAUCCUUUGUUGCCAGCGGUUAGGCCGGGAACUCAAAGGAGACUGCCAGUGAUAAACUGGAGGAAGGUGGGGAUGACGUCAAGUCAUCAUGGCCCUUACGACCAGGGCUACACACGUGCUACAAUGGCAUAUACAAAGAGAAGCGACCUCGCGAGAGCAAGCGGACCUCAUAAAGUAUGUCGUAGUCCGGAUUGGAGUCUGCAACUCGACUCCAUGAAGUCGGAAUCGCUAGUAAUCGUAGAUCAGAAUGCUACGGUGAAUACGUUCCCGGGCCUUGUACACACCGCCCGUCACACCAUGGGAGUGGGUUGCAAAAGAAGUAGGUAGCUUAACCUUCGGGAGGGCGCUUACCACUUUGUGAUUCAUGACUGGGGUGAAGUCGUAACAAGGUAACCGUAGGGGAACCUGCGGUUGGAUCACCUCCUUA